AGCAGCCGCGGUAAUUCCAGCUCCAAUAGCGUAUAUUAAAGUUGUUGCAGUUAAAAAGCUCGUAGUUGAAUUUCGGGGUUAGUAAGUUGGUCAUGCCUUCGGUAUGUACUGGCUUUACUGAUUCCUCCUUCUUGACGAACCGUGAUGUCAUUAAUUUGGUGUUGCGGGAAAUCAGGACUGUUACUUUGAAAAAAUUAGAGUGUUUAAAGCAGGCUAACGCUUGAAUACAUUAGCAUGGAAUAAUGAAAUAGGACGUUAAUCCUAUUUUGUUGGUUUCUAGGAUCGACGUAAUGAUUAAUAGGGAUAGUUGGGGGCAUUAGUAUUCAAUUGUCAGAGGUGAAAUUCUUGGAUUUAUUGAAGACUAACUACUGCGAAAGCAUUUGCCAAGGAUGUUUUCAUUAAUCAAGAACGAAAGUUAGGGGAUCGAAGACGAUCAGAUACCAUCGUAGUCUUAACCAUAAACUAUGCCGACUAGGGAUCGGAUGAUGUUAAUUUUUUAAUGACUCA
This 507-nucleotide ribosomal RNA is filed under the name uncultured Glomeromycotina. Its description in RNAcentral is "SSU rRNA". It matches the Rfam family "Eukaryotic small subunit ribosomal RNA", at positions 569 to 1078 of the family's 1831-position model. The record is from RNAcentral. Lineage: Eukaryota; Fungi; Glomeromycota.